This 495-nucleotide ribosomal RNA is filed under the name uncultured bacterium. RNAcentral describes it as "partial 16S ribosomal RNA". It matches the Rfam family "Bacterial small subunit ribosomal RNA", at positions 28 to 507 of the family's 1533-position model. The record is from RNAcentral.
GACGAACGCUGGCGGCGUGCCUAAUACAUGCAAGUAGAACGCUGAAGGAGGAGCUUGCUUCUCUGGAUGAGUUGCGAACGGGUGAGUAACGCGUAGGUAACCUGCCUGGUAGCGGGGGAUAACUAUUGGAAACGAUAGCUAAUACCGCAUAAUAGCAGUUGUUGCAUGACAACUGUUUGAAAGGUGCAAUUGCACCACUACCAGAUGGACCUGCGUUGUAUUAGCUAGUUGGUGGGGUAACGGCUCACCAAGGCGACGAUACAUAGCCGACCUGAGGGGGUGAUCGGCCACACUGGGACUGAGACACGGCCCAGACUCCUACGGGAGGCAGCAGUAGGGAAUCUUCGGCAAUGGACGGAAGUCUGACCGAGCAACGCCGCGUGAGUGAAGAAGGGUUUCGGAUCGUAAAGCUCUGUUGUAAGAGAAGAACGAGUGUGAGAGUGGAAAGUUCACGCUGUGACGGUAUCUUACCAGAAAGGGACGGCUAACUACGUG